UUUUUUUUUUUUAAUGAUUAAGAAAUUAAAUAAAAAUGUGAGUACAAAAGGCAGAGUUAAUGAUGACUACAAAGGGAAGGAUAAGGAAAUGGCAGUUCCUUGACUAUUGAUUGGAUCCUUGUCCAUUUUAUGAGUCUUUACCUUCCUGCAGUAAAUUCGGAUCGUUCAGCACGCAAAUGUCCCAACGUGUUCUCAUGCAGAAGAUGAGAGGAUCCUCAUUACAGAAAAACGCCAACUUUUUUGCACUUGGUAUGAUAAUUAGAGGAACCGUUUAAGAACCCCAUGGAUGCUCUUGGGCGUCAUCCUAGCUGCCAUUCAGGCCCUCCGAGUCCUGCAGGAUGCGCUUGUUUGUCGUCACCUGGAGCCGAUGGACCAGGAGCGAAGCGCAGAUGGAGGGGUGAAGGGUGGCGACCGCCCAAUGACUCGUGCGCGGCUUCGGUGGCCCAGCAGGUGACAGGUGCGUGGGGAAGGCCCUGGGCACCCACCGCGUCUAAGGCAGAGCCCCCACCGACGCCUCGAGCUUCCACUGUCAAGGGCAGGGGCCCCGCGGGAGGCGGCCACGCCCGGGGUCAGGGCAGCGCGGGGACCCGCGGGGACACAGCUUGCGGUGCCAGGCCCUGGUCGCGUCCUGCUCCCACAGGGGCCUGCAGUCCUGAGCGUCCCCCCAGAAGCGGCCCUGCGGCCCCCGGGGAGCCAGGAGGUUGACCAAGAUGCCCGUCUGGGUCCCGGAGGACGGAGCCACCUCCUUCCAGCCCCCCGCGACUGCGAGCAGGUGGCCGUGCCGCCGAGCCAGAGCCUGUACACGGCCCAGAACACGACGUCAGCGAGGAGAAGGCGCAGGCCGCAGGCUGGAGCUCGGGCUGGCGGCGCCCAGGCCUGUGCUGCACCGGCGGGGCCACGCGCCUAGGAAGCCACUUUCACAACGGACACAUAUGAUCUGACCCCCAGCACACCCUCGAAGCUUCCCGAAUUGUGAAGCCCUGCUGGGGGUGGAGCGGUUCUGCUUUAGGGCAGCACCUGACACACCACCGCUCCCCGUCCAAGGUGCCCUCACAGGCAAGCACUCAGGACCGCGGCAGCCCCGCACCCCCCGCACCCUCCUGCAGCCGAGCUGGCGAGGACGUAACAGAUGGGCCUUGGCUUCCAACAGGCCGCCCCCAGCCUGGGGAGAGCUCGGCCCUGGGCAGGAAGAGGCACCAGCACUCUCUGAGGUAGGAAGACCGCCACCACUGAUCUUAGGACACAGAGGAUGGCCUGUAACCCUCAAAGCAUGAAGAGAAGGGGAAGGUUUAAGGGGAAGAUCUUUCUACUAAGAUUGAGGUUCGACUGGAAACAAUUUUUUCAAGAACCCUCUAUGUGCCGGCCCCCGGUUAGGUGCUGUAGCCUGUCACCCCUUUUAAUUCUUCCAAUUUGGAGCCAAGUCCGUGACCACACGCCGAGACCAGAGAGAUGUGAUAUCAAAGCACCCACCCAGCCCCAUUUACCUGGAAAUUUAAAAGCUGAUUUAAAGGCCAAACGGCUGUCAUACCCAGACAUCAGCACACAGACAGUCCUUUCCCCCUAACCUGGGGAGUCUCAACUUCUCUACGCAUAAAAGUUACCGCUCAGGCUUGAAUAUACAAAAUCACGUCUUAUGAAUUAUUUCAGAGCUUCCCCAGGGUUUAGUCUCUGCAAUAUUCUAACCAUUAGAACCUAACACCUGUAGGAGCUCCCCCUCCCCUCACCUGCACGGCUGAGUGCCUAGUUGGUGCUUGAUACCAAGAGUGAACUCGAUCCAUGGUUUGCUUUCCAUGAAGGAGUUUCAAGAGAAGUGUUAAGGGCUUGUCACAUCUAGCAGUUUAUUUUAGCGGAGGGCAAGCGUGUGGACCCCAAUGGUCCACUAAAGGCAGGUCAACAAGCACACAUUCAAGCAGAACACAUCCAGACCCUGUUGAAACAAUUUUUUUUUUAUCGUUCCUAGGUCACUUUCAGUACUACAUGAAGCAAUCCCCCGCUCCUCUAUCCAAUCCUAUGUGAAAAAGUUAAAAAGGAAUUUUAUUUUAGAACAGAUACACCUUUAGAAAUAUAUAAUAAAUCUUAAAAAAAAAAAAGAAAUCUAUAAUAAAUCUUAAAGUCUGAAAGAAGAGGGCUUUUGACUAUAAAAUUCAUUUAACGUGAAAUUCUAAACCAAACUGGGACAGACUGGAUGGGAAAAAGUGAAACUGAAGAUAGGAUCUUGCCUUUCACAAAAUUUCACGUGGAGAACUUACCUUAUCAAUCUUAUUUUAGGUGCACAGCACCUUAACUAAAAACCAUCAUCGGCUUGUCUUAACUGUCUGAAGAAAGAUACUGUUCACCUGCUAAGUGACAAGAGUGAUGAACAAGCACGUUUUCCAUGCCUUCUUAAAGGGCAAUAAUUAUAAGCAUCUGAGAUACUCACAUUUCUUAGACAACCACGGUGACAUCCUGCCUUCACUCUGGCUCUCCUGCAAACACUUCCGUCUGCCUUGUAGCUAGGGUGACCUUUGCAAUUUUUUUCCCCUGACAAUGAUGAUCAAUUUUAAAGAUGGACAUUAAAUAUUUACAUUUAAUAAAUUAAAAUUUUAAAGCAGAAAAAAAAAAAAA
RNAcentral lists this long non-coding RNA (2604 nucleotides) under Canis lupus familiaris (dog). Its description in RNAcentral is "lncRNA (ENSCAFG00845010247.1)". The record is from RNAcentral. Lineage: Eukaryota; Metazoa; Chordata; Mammalia; Carnivora; Canidae.